GUGAGGAAUUUUCCGCAAUGGGCGAAAGCCUGACGGAGCAAUGCCGCGUGAAGGAUGAAGGCCUAUGGGUUGUAAACUUCUUUUCUCAGAAAAGAAUUAUGACGGUAUCUGAGGAAUAAGCAUCGGCUAACUCUGUGCCAGCAGCCGCGGUAAGACAGAGGAUGCAAGCGUUAUCCGGAAUGAUUGGGCGUAAAGCGUCUGUAGGUUGUUUAAAAAGUAUUCUGUCAAAGAUUAGGGCUUAACCCUAGAUAGGCAGAAUAAACUUUUAAGCUAGAGUGUGGUAGAGGCAGAGAGAAUUCCCGGUGGAGCGGUGAAAUGCGUAGAUAUCGGGAGGAACACCAAAGGCGAAGGCACUCUGCUGGGCCAAUACUAACACUGAGAGACGAAAGCGAGGGGAGCAAAUGGGAUUAGAUACCCUGGUAGUCC
Molecule: ribosomal RNA, 426 nt
Filed under: uncultured bacterium
Lineage: Bacteria
Description: bacterial SSU rRNA
Rfam family: Bacterial small subunit ribosomal RNA
Source: RNAcentral